UUCUAUUAUACUUAAUUAAUAGUAUAAUCUGCUCAAUGAAACUAAUAAAUAGCCGCAUUUGUGCUAAGGUAGCAUAAUCAUUUGUCUUUUAAAUGAAGUCUAGAACAAAAGAUCAAACAUUUUAAUUAAUUUCUUUAUUAUAUAAUCUCAAACUUAUUUUAAAUGUAAUAAAACAUUUAUGUAAAAGAAAGACGACAAGACCCUAUUGAACUUAACUAUAGUUAAACUGGGGUAGUUUAUUAAUUAUUAUUUUAAAUUAACAAUAAACAAAAUCCAUAAUAUGUUAAUUAUAUUCAGUUACCAUAGGGAUAACAGCAUAAUAAAUAUUAUAAGACCUUAUAUAAAUAAUAGAUUAUGACCUCGAUGUUGAAUUAAUUAUCUAUUUAAAGCAAAAAUUAAAUAAGAAAGUCUGUUCGACUUUUAAAAAUUUACA
RNAcentral lists this ribosomal RNA (433 nucleotides) under Theridiosoma gemmosum. Its description in RNAcentral is "partial 16S ribosomal RNA". The record is from RNAcentral. Lineage: Eukaryota; Metazoa; Arthropoda; Arachnida; Araneae; Theridiosomatidae.